GGUUAAGCGACUAAGCGUACACGGUGGAUGCCCUGGCAGUCAGAGGCGAUGAAGGACGUGCUAAUCUGCGAUAAGCGUCGGUAAGGUGAUAUGAACCGUUAUAACCGGCGAUUUCCGAAUGGGGAAACCCAGUGUGAUUCGUCACACUAUCAUUAACUGAAUCCAUAGGUUAAUGAGGCGAACCGGGGGAACUGAAACAUCUAAGUACCCCGAGGAAAAGAAAUCAACCGAGAUUCCCCCAGUAGCGGCGAGCGAACGGGGAGCAGCCCAGAGCCUGAAUCAGUGUGUGUGUUAGUGGAAGCGUCUGGAAAGGCGCGCGAUACAGGGUGACAGCCCCGUACACAAAAAUGCACAUGCUGUGAGCUCGAUGAGUAGGGCGGGACACGUGGUAUCCUGUCUGAAUAUGGGGGGACCAUCCUCCAAGGCUAAAUACUCCUGACUGACCGAUAGUGAACCAGUACCGUGAGGGAAAGGCGAAAAGAACCCCGGCGAGGGGAGUGAAAAAGAACCUGAAACCGUGUACGUACAAGCAGUGGGAGCACGCUUAGGCGUGUGACUGCGUACCUUUUGUAUAAUGGGUCAGCGACUUAUAUUCUGUAGCAAGGUUAACCGAAUAGGGGAGCCGAAGGGAAACCGAGUCUUAACUGGGCGUUAAGUUGCAGGGUAUAGACCCGAAACCCGGUGAUCUAGCCAUGGGCAGGUUGAAGGUUGGGUAACACUAACUGGAGGACCGAACCGACUAAUGUUGAAAAAUUAGCGGAUGACUUGUGGCUGGGGGUGAAAGGCCAAUCAAACCGGGAGAUAGCUGGUUCUCCCCGAAAGCUAUUUAGGUAGCGCCUCGUGAAUUCAUCUCCGGGGGUAGAGCACUGUUUCGGCAAGGGGGUCAUCCCGACUUACCAACCCGAUGCAAACUGCGAAUACCGGAGAAUGUUAUCACGGGAGACACACGGCGGGUGCUAACGUCCGUCGUGAAGAGGGAAACAACCCAGACCGCCAGCUAAGGUCCCAAAGUCAUGGUUAAGUGGGAAACGAUGUGGGAAGGCCCAGACAGCCAGGAUGUUGGCUUAGAAGCAGCCAUCAUUUAAAGAAAGCGUAAUAGCUCACUGGUCGAGUCGGCCUGCGCGGAAGAUGUAACGGGGCUAAACCAUGCACCGAAGCUGCGGCAGCGACGCUUAUGCGUUGUUGGGUAGGGGAGCGUUCUGUAAGCCUGUGAAGGUGUGCUGUGAGGCAUGCUGGAGGUAUCAGAAGUGCGAAUGCUGACAUAAGUAACGAUAAAGCGGGUGAAAAGCCCGCUCGCCGGAAGACCAAGGGUUCCUGUCCAACGUUAAUCGGGGCAGGGUGAGUCGACCCCUAAGGCGAGGCCGAAAGGCGUAGUCGAUGGGAAACAGGUUAAUAUUCCUGUACUUGGUGUUACUGCGAAGGGGGGACGGAGAAGGCUAUGUUGGCCGGGCGACGGUUGUCCCGGUUUAAGCGUGUAGGCUGGUUUUCCAGGCAAAUCCGGAAAAUCAAGGCUGAGGCGUGAUGACGAGGCACUACGGUGCUGAAGCAACAAAUGCCCUGCUUCCAGGAAAAGCCUCUAAGCAUCAGGUAACAUCAAAUCGUACCCCAAACCGACACAGGUGGUCAGGUAGAGAAUACCAAGGCGCUUGAGAGAACUCGGGUGAAGGAACUAGGCAAAAUGGUGCCGUAACUUCGGGAGAAGGCACGCUGAUAUGUAGGUGAAGUCCCUCGCGGAUGGAGCUGAAAUCAGUCGAAGAUACCAGCUGGCUGCAACUGUUUAUUAAAAACACAGCACUGUGCAAACACGAAAGUGGACGUAUACGGUGUGACGCCUGCCCGGUGCCGGAAGGUUAAUUGAUGGGGUCAGCGCAAGCGAAGCUCUUGAUCGAAGCCCCGGUAAACGGCGGCCGUAACUAUAACGGUCCUAAGGUAGCGAAAUUCCUUGUCGGGUAAGUUCCGACCUGCACGAAUGGCGUAAUGAUGGCCAGGCUGUCUCCACCCGAGACUCAGUGAAAUUGAACUCGCUGUGAAGAUGCAGUGUACCCGCGGCAAGACGGAAAGACCCCGUGAACCUUUACUAUAGCUUGACACUGAACAUUGAGCCUUGAUGUGUAGGAUAGGUGGGAGGCUUUGAAGUGUGGACGCCAGUCUGCAUGGAGCCGACCUUGAAAUACCACCCUUUAAUGUUUGAUGUUCUAACGUUGACCCGUGAUCCGGGUUGCGGACAGUGUCUGGUGGGUAGUUUGACUGGGGCGGUCUCCUCCUAAAGAGUAACGGAGGAGCACGAAGGUUGGCUAAUCCUGGUCGGACAUCAGGAGGUUAGUGCAAUGGCAUAAGCCAGCUUGACUGCGAGCGUGACGGCGCGAGCAGGUGCGAAAGCAGGUCAUAGUGAUCCGGUGGUUCUGAAUGGAAGGGCCAUCGCUCAACGGAUAAAAGGUACUCCGGGGAUAACAGGCUGAUACCGCCCAAGAGUUCAUAUCGACGGCGGUGUUUGGCACCUCGAUGUCGGCUCAUCACAUCCUGGGGCUGAAGUAGGUCCCAAGGGUAUGGCUGUUCGCCAUUUAAAGUGGUACGCGAGCUGGGUUUAGAACGUCGUGAGACAGUUCGGUCCCUAUCUGCCGUGGGCGCUGGAGAACUGAGGGGGGCUGCUCCUAGUACGAGAGGACCGGAGUGGACGCAUCACUGGUGUUCGGGUUGUCAUGCCAAUGGCACUGCCCGGUAGCUAAAUGCGGAAGAGAUAAGUGCUGAAAGCAUCUAAGCACGAAACUUGCCCCGAGAUGAGUUCUCCCUGACCCUUUAAGGGUCCUGAAGGAACGUUGAAGACGACGACGUUGAUAGGCCGGGUGUGUAAGCGCAGCGAUGCGUUGAGCUAACCGGUACUAAUGAACCGUGAGGCUUAACCUU
This 2904-nucleotide ribosomal RNA is filed under the name Escherichia coli. RNAcentral describes it as "23S ribosomal RNA". It matches the Rfam family "Bacterial large subunit ribosomal RNA". Lineage: Bacteria; Pseudomonadati; Pseudomonadota; Gammaproteobacteria; Enterobacterales; Enterobacteriaceae. The record is from RNAcentral.